Molecule: non-coding RNA, 74 nt
Organism: Ataeniobius toweri
Lineage: Eukaryota; Metazoa; Chordata; Actinopteri; Cyprinodontiformes; Goodeidae
Source: the annotation of a GenBank genome assembly
GCGACUGUGGCUCAGUUGGUAGAGUUGUUGUCUUGCAGUCUGAAGGUUGAGGGUUUGAGCUUCCUCCUGCAACA